This 253-nucleotide ribosomal RNA is filed under the name uncultured bacterium. RNAcentral describes it as "partial 16S ribosomal RNA". It matches the Rfam family "Bacterial small subunit ribosomal RNA", at positions 524 to 776 of the family's 1533-position model. The record is from RNAcentral.
UACGUAGGGUGCAAGCGUUGUCCGGAAUUACUGGGCGUAAAGGGCUCGUAGGUGGCCAACUAAGUCAGACGUGAAAUCCCCAGGCUCAACUUGGGAACUGCGUCUGAUACUGGAUGGCUUGAAUUCGGGAGAGGGAUGCAGAAUUCCAGGUGUAGCGGUGAAAUGCGUAGAUAUCUGGAGGAACACCGGUGGCGAAGGCGGCAUCCUGGACCGGUAUUGACGCUGAGGCGCGAAAGCCAGGGGAGCAAACGGG